RNAcentral lists this ribosomal RNA (303 nucleotides) under Triticum aestivum (bread wheat). RNAcentral's name for it is "partial small subunit ribosomal RNA". The record is from RNAcentral. Lineage: Eukaryota; Viridiplantae; Streptophyta; Magnoliopsida; Poales; Poaceae.
AUGAUUUACACAUGGAAUCCAGAUGAUUAUGUUUCUUCAUCCCCCAAGUACUUCAAUGGUGGCUCCUUCCCGGUUGGCUCAAUUGCUGCUGGAUUUAGGUGGGUUGGCUCAAUUGCUGCUGGAUUUAGGUGGCCAAGUUUGAACGAAAAUUACUCAUUGACCGUAUGUCUAAUCGGUGUUUCUUUGUUUACAGAAAAACUAAUAUGUGAGGAUUAUCUCAGGUUUCUUUUUGAACUUGUAGUGUUACUGUACAUGAACUUGUGCAUUACCUUGUUAUCAAUUUAUGUGUAUGUGUGUUGGUAA